UACGGGGGGGGCAAGCGUUGUUCGGAAUUACUGGGCGUAAAGGGCUCGUAGGCGGCCAACUAAGUCAUACGUGAAAUCCCUCGGCUUAACCGGGGAACUGCGUCUGAUACUGGAUGGCUGGAGUGUGGGAGAGGGAUGCGGAAUUCCAGGUGUAGCGGUGAAAUGCGUAGAUAUCUGGAGGAACACCGGUGGCGAAGGCGGCAUCCUGGACCAUUACUGACACUGAAAAGCGAAAGCCAGGGGAGCAAACGGG
Molecule: ribosomal RNA, 253 nt
Filed under: uncultured bacterium
Lineage: Bacteria
Description: partial 16S ribosomal RNA
Rfam family: Bacterial small subunit ribosomal RNA
Source: RNAcentral